AACUCUAAAUACUCGGAUUUGUUAUACUGCCCCAUGUGAUAACUCAACUUUGGACGGGCAGUAGAAACUAUCAAGAUGGAGUACAAUAGGGGGAAUAUGAAAUUUUCAGUGGAGCGUUAAAGAUUUGUAGAGAUAGAAAAAAACACCAAUGAUGAAAGCAUUUUUUGGGCGGACAUUGACACUGAGUGACAAAUCUAGGGGAGCACAUAGGAUUAGGUACUUCAGUAGUUCUAGCCAUAAAUGAUGGAUACUAGGCGUUGUGCAUAUCGACCCGUCUAAUGUUGUAGCUAAGGCAUUAAGUAUCCU
RNAcentral lists this ribosomal RNA (306 nucleotides) under Malus domestica (apple). RNAcentral describes it as "rRNA MD17G0112300". It matches the Rfam family "Bacterial small subunit ribosomal RNA", at positions 564 to 870 of the family's 1533-position model. The record is from Rfam by way of RNAcentral. Lineage: Eukaryota; Viridiplantae; Streptophyta; Magnoliopsida; Rosales; Rosaceae.